GAUACACAAAUGGCUAAUAAGUGCAUGAGAAGAUGCUCAACAUCAGAAGAAAUAAUCAGAGAAAUAAUUUCCCAGACCUGGAUACAAGUCUUCCGAACAAAAGGUUUAUUGAACAGGCUGUGAAAUGGGAAAGUAUAAAUGAUAAAGUUUUUUGAAAUUUCAAAACACAAAGCUUGAAGAGAGCAUUUCUUUUUGAUAUUCCCUCCCCUUCAGAGCAUUUUCUUUGCACAGGUUGAAGCACUGGAAUCCUCCGUUUCCUUUAACUGCUCAUCCCUCAGCUGACCGUCAUCGCAGGCUGGUUUCUUCGGAAAUGUCUGUCAGUUCGUGAGGAAAUCCUAAGUCCCGAAGGUGAUGGUCAGGAGGCUGAGGUGACCGGGAGGUGUGUGACAGUGUCAUGAGGGUGUCACUCACGAAGAGAUGCCAUACGAGGAGAUUCCUGGCCCCUCCAGCACAUGAAGAUCUGAGGAGUCUGCAGCCUGGAAGAGGCCCCUCACGUGACCACGCUGGCUCCCUGAUCGUGGACUUCCAGCCUCCAGAACUAGGCGAAGCCGACUUCUCUUGUUUAUAAGCUGUCUAGUCUGGGGUAUUUUGCCACAAGAGCACCAACAAAGACACUAUCCAAGCAGCAAAAACUGUGAAAAACUCAAAAAUUACAUUGUUUGGAAUUUGGAAUCCGGGUGGCUGUGCUCAAAGCAGCAACGAUGAUUCUUACCUCUUGUCUGUGCUGUUUCUGAACAGGGAAACAAUGAUAUUUAAAGACACCCAGAAACCUCAACAAAAAUGUCUGUGGGCCGUGCCCGAGCGGUCUGCUGAACAGAAUCGGGGUCUAACGUAAAGAAUCAGCCGGCUCCAAUAUUUGAAAGGCCCAGACGUAUAAAGGAUGUAUGUGCUGAGGCAGCUGCAAUUAAUAAAUUAAGAAGGUGACCAGGUGAAGCUCUGAGGAUUUUUAAAUAAUCUUACUUGCUGUUCCUUGAAAGGACCAAACCCCAAAAUUUUUAAAGAUCCUUGCUUGGGGGUCCUUUCUGUGCCCCCAAAGCAGCGACCAGUGCAUUUUUCGAUCUAAAGCUUCCCCGCCGUGAGGUGUAAAGGCUCCCGUGGAGCACGGGCUGGAGUUGGCCAGUGUCUUGGCUCCGCUGCCGUCACCUUCCUGUCCGACUAGCGUCACCCAGCCUUCCAUGCCAGGACCGCAUCCCCUCCUGGCUGCUUGUGAGGCUUCAGAGCAAACACCUGGCUCUCCUUAUUCUGACCCAACUACAGCCAAACCUAACAGACCUAUGCACGAGGUCCCACGCACUGAAGACUUUCUAACUGGAUGUAUUUG
Molecule: non-coding RNA, 1321 nt
Organism: Leptonychotes weddellii (Weddell seal)
Lineage: Eukaryota; Metazoa; Chordata; Mammalia; Carnivora; Phocidae
Source: RefSeq, a predicted model, not a curated record